This 277-nucleotide unclassified non-coding RNA is filed under the name Oidiodendron sp. RNAcentral describes it as "partial contains 5.8S ribosomal RNA, internal transcribed spacer 2, and large subunit ribosomal RNA". The stretch from base 1 to 71 matches the Rfam family "5.8S ribosomal RNA", at positions 84 to 154 of the family's 154-position model. The record is from RNAcentral. Lineage: Eukaryota; Fungi; Ascomycota; Leotiomycetes; Myxotrichaceae.
GUGAGUCAUCGAAUCUUUGAACGCACAUUGCGCCCCGUGGCAUUCCGCGGGGCAUGCCUGUUCGAGCGUCAUCUCAACCCUCAAGCCCCGGCUUGGCGUUGGGCGCGGCCGGCCCGGCCCGCCCCAAAGGCAGUGGCGGCGCCGCCGGGCCCCGAGCGUGGUACAGCCUUCCGCUCCGGGGCCCCGCGGUGGCCCGCCAGAACCCCCCAUCUCCUGCGGUUGACCUCGGAUCAGGUAGGGAUACCCGCUGAACUUAAGCAUAUCAAUAAGCGGAGGA